ACUUAACUGAUGAGUUCUAAACAGGAGGAAAUGCGAGUCCUGGAU
Molecule: non-coding RNA, 45 nt
Organism: Schistosoma rodhaini
Lineage: Eukaryota; Metazoa; Platyhelminthes; Trematoda; Strigeidida; Schistosomatidae
Source: Rfam